CUCUUUGUCAAGAGAGAUCUGAAGGCAGUGUUAGGCAGAGGCCUGAUCUGAAGGGCAACAAGAGCAUCAGGCUUUGUGUGGAUGCUGCAGCUCGAGCUGAGUGCUUCAGUC
Non-coding RNA from Acanthisitta chloris (rifleman), 111 nucleotides. NCBI's taxonomy places the organism in Eukaryota, Metazoa, Chordata, Aves, Passeriformes, Acanthisittidae. The record is from Rfam.